This 253-nucleotide ribosomal RNA is filed under the name uncultured bacterium. RNAcentral's name for it is "partial 16S ribosomal RNA". It matches the Rfam family "Bacterial small subunit ribosomal RNA", at positions 524 to 776 of the family's 1533-position model. The record is from RNAcentral.
UACGUAGGGUGCAAGCGUUAAUCGGAAUUACUGGGCGUAAAGCGUGCGCAGGCGGUCUUGCAAGACAGAUGUGAAAUCCCCGGGCUCAACCUGGGAACUGCAUUUGUGACUGCAAGGCUGGAGUGCGGCAGAGGGGGAUGGAAUUCCGCGUGUAGCAGUGAAAUGCGUAGAGAUCGGGAGGAACAUCAGUUGCGAAGGCGGCUCUCUGGACCAGCACUGACACUGAGGCACGAAAGCGUGGGGAGCAAACAGG